GCGGUUAUACAAAAUAUACAAAUAAAUUUUAUUAUUUUGUAGUUAAAUUAAUAUUUUUAAAUUAAAAAUUUAUAAAUAAGGUGAAAUUUUUUAUAAGUUAAAAUUUAUGAAUAAAUUGAUUGAAGCUAUUAGAUUUAAUUUAUAAACUAGGAUUAGAUACCCUAUUAUUUUAAAGGUAAAUGAUUAAAUUAGGUAGUAAUAGUUAAAUUCUUGAAACUUAAAAAAUUUGGCGGUAUUUUAAUCUAUUUAGAGGAAUCUGUUCCAUAAUCGAUAGUCCACGAUGAAUUUUACAUAAUUUAAUUUAGUUUGUAUAUCGUCGUUAUAAGAAAAUUUUAUAAGAAAUUUAAUUUUCUAAAAUUUUUAUAAAAAUUUAUUUCAGAUCAAGGUGCAGCUUAUAAUUAUGAGGAAAUGGAUUACAAUAAAUGUAUUUAUUAUGGAUAAUAAGAUGAAUAUUUUGUUUGAAGGUGGAUUUAAUAGUAAAUUAAAUUAUAUAAUUUAAUUGAUUUUAGUUCUAAAAUAUGCACAUAUCGCCCGUCGCUCUCUUUAUUUAAAAAGAGAUAAGUCGUAACAAAGUAGAUGUACUGGAAAGUGUAUCUAGAAUGAUUCA
RNAcentral lists this ribosomal RNA (607 nucleotides) under Parachauliodes rastellus. RNAcentral describes it as "12S ribosomal RNA". Lineage: Eukaryota; Metazoa; Arthropoda; Insecta; Megaloptera; Corydalidae. The record is from RNAcentral.